GCCAGUCUGCAUGGAGCCGGCCUUGAAAUACCACCCUUUAAUGUUUGAUGUUCUAACGUGGACCCGUGAUCCGGGUUGCGGACAGUGUCUGGUGGGUAGUUUGACUGGGGCGGUCUCCUCCUAAAGAGUAACGGAGGAGCACGAAGGUUGGCUAAUCCUGGUCGGACAUCAGGAGGUUAGUGCAAUGGCAUAAGCCAGCUUGACUGCGAGCGUGACGGCGCGAGCAGGUGCGAAAGCAGGUCAUAGUGAUCCGGUGGUUCUGAAUGGAAGGGCCAUCGCUCAACGGAUAAAAGGUACUCCGGGGAUAACAGGCUGAUACCGCCCAAGAGUUCAUAUCGACGGCGGUGUUUGGCACCUCGAUGUCGGCUCAUCACAUCCUGGGGCUGAAGUAGGUCCCAAGGGUAUGGCUGUUCGCCAUUUAAAGUGGUACGCGAGCUGGGUUUAGAACGUCGUGAGACAGUUCGGUCCCUAUCUGCCGUGGGCGCUGGAGAACUGAGGGGGGCUGCUCCUAGUACGAGAGGACCGGAGUGGACGCAUCACUGGUGUUCGGGUUGUCAUGCCAAUGGCACUGCCCGGUAGCUAAAUGCGGAAGAGAUAAGUGCUGAAAGCAUCUAAGCACGAAACUUGCCCCGAGAUGAGUUCUCCCUGACCCUUUAAGGGUCCUGAAGGAACGUUGAAGACGACGACGUUGAUAGGCCGGGUGUGUAAGCGCAGCGAUGCGUUGAGCUAACCGGUACUAAUGAACCGUGAGGCUUAACCUU
Molecule: ribosomal RNA, 761 nt
Filed under: Shigella sonnei
Lineage: Bacteria; Pseudomonadati; Pseudomonadota; Gammaproteobacteria; Enterobacterales; Enterobacteriaceae
Description: partial 23S ribosomal RNA
Rfam family: Bacterial large subunit ribosomal RNA
Source: RNAcentral